Molecule: ribosomal RNA, 253 nt
Filed under: uncultured bacterium
Lineage: Bacteria
Description: partial 16S ribosomal RNA
Rfam family: Bacterial small subunit ribosomal RNA
Source: RNAcentral
UACGUAGGGGGCUAGCGUUGUCCGGAAUUAUUGGGCGUAAAGAGCUCGUAGGCGGUCUGUCGCGUCUGCUGUGAAAACUCAGGGCUUAACCCUGAGCUUGCAGUGGGUACGGGCAGACUAGAGUGCGGUAGGGGAGACUGGAAUUCCUGGUGUAGCGGUGAAAUGCGCAGAUAUCAGGAGGAACACCGGUGGCGAAGGCGGGUCUCUGGGCCGUAACUGACGCUGAGGAGCGAAAGCAUGGGGAGCGAACAGG